GACGAACGCUGGCGGCGUGCUUAACACAAUGCAAGUCGAGCGGUAAAGGCCCUUCGGGGUACACGAGCGGCGAACGGGUGAGUAACACGUGGGUGACCUGCCCUCCACUUCGGGAUAAGCCCGGGAAACUGGGCCUAAUACCGGUUAGGACCUCCUCAUGCAUGUGGGGUGGUGGAAAGCUUGUGUCUUUGAUGCUUGCGGUGGGGGAUGGGCCCGCGGUCUAUCAGCUUGUUGGUGGGGUGAGGCCUACCAAGGCGACGACGGAUAGCCGGCCUGAGAGGGUGAUCGGCCACACUGGGACUGAGACA
This 308-nucleotide ribosomal RNA is filed under the name uncultured bacterium. RNAcentral describes it as "bacterial SSU rRNA". It matches the Rfam family "Bacterial small subunit ribosomal RNA", at positions 28 to 326 of the family's 1533-position model. The record is from RNAcentral.